AACUUGGUGCAGUGGCAGUAUCGUAGCCAAUGAGGUUUAUCUGAGGCUUGAUCAUUGCUAAUUAGAAAAUUUUCCCAAUAUCCCACUGUGACAACUUGUAAUAUUGUCAGCACUGGC
Otolemur garnettii (small-eared galago) is the source of this 117-nucleotide non-coding RNA. NCBI's taxonomy places the organism in Eukaryota, Metazoa, Chordata, Mammalia, Primates, Galagidae. The record is from Rfam.